GCUAUUUCAGGCUGAUAGUAAUGGAACGCUACGUUUAAUAUAUGCGAUAAGUCGUAGCACGAUAGAAGUGGAUCGAAAUUACCACUCGUCAAAAUUAGAGUUGAUGACAGGGAAUUAUACGUAGUUCCACGCGCGAUGAGGAAAGCGUUGGUUAUUAAGAGUCACGAUUUGUCAAGUCACUUCGGAAUAGACCGAACCGUUGCACGAAUAAGUGAGGUUUACUAUUUUCCUAAAUUACGAAGUUACGUAAAAAGACACAGCUUUCUGCAUUGAAUGCUUGUUUGCUAAGCACGGUGUGCCUGAACCAACUAUCAUGUGUUUAAAACAUUAACAUUUUUGAAGCAAAAAGCUUCCAAAUUAACAUUUUUUCAAAAUUUACCUAUAUUUCGUUACGUUAGGCACAUAUUAGACAAAAGAAAGAUGGAAAAAUUUGUAUUCUUCCAUUUUUACGUCAGAAAGUUUGAGUUUUCCCAGGACAACAUGUUUUCAAAUUCAAAAGAUGCUGGUUCACAUGAUGAAAACCGAAAAAAAAUUUGUUUUUUCUGUUUAAAGAAAAAGGAGAAAAUGAUAGAAAUUAAUGAUGCUUUAAAGGAUCGAGUGAAAAAACUUGUGACUUUCGAUGUAGAAGAUACUAGUGUUCCUACUGUUAUUUGUAAUUCUUGCAAAAUUCUUGUUUAUAGUUCGCUCAAAGAUAAGAAAUAUGAAGCGUAUUUAAAAAUACCCGAUUGUUCCCAAUUUGGAUUACAAUGUUGUAAUACCAGGAGCACCGAAGACAAAUUAUGUAGUUGUAAUUUAGUGAGAAAACCGGGGCACAUUAACUUCGAAAAAAAUAAACCAAUAACAAAAAAAGAAGAAAAAUUAUUGCGCUAAGUGCCGAUUAGAAAUAUUUGUAGGAAAAUCACAUUUUUGUUGUAUAGAGAAUUUGGAGAAGCAUAUUAUAAAUUAUUUAUUUACAAAGGAAAAAGAACACUUAGUUUUUCAUUUAAUUAAAGAUAUUUCAAGUACAAAAAAGAGAAUUAAUUCUGAAGAAAAUUAAUCAGGUAAAGAUACAAUUGCUUUAUCUCAAAAACAUGGAAAGUCAUUAAAAAUUUCUUUGAAUAUUGACCAAGAAUCGAAAUUUAAAAAAAGAAAAACUUUCUGCUGAAGAUAUUUCGAGAAUUGGAACAGAUUGUGACCUUUCAACUUUUUUACAGUACACAGAAUUACUUUCGUGUAGCUACAAAUAACAGAAAGCUGUUUGAACCAAAUUUAAAAGAAAAAUGUAACGUGACCAAAUCCAAGAAUAAUCAAAUUACAACUGCAUCAGAAAUUUUAGUUUUUUGCAAUAAUGUAAACGAAUUGAUUGAUUUUGUUAAAGAGAAAAGGAAAGUUAAUGAAGUGUAUUUAAAGAUUGGUAUAGAUGGAGGCGGAGUAUUUUUAAGAGUUUGUCUUUCGAUACAGUCGUCUGCGAUCAUUGAAUCUGUUGGCAAUAUUAUUUGUUUGUUCUGUUUAUUAUUUUUAUUUGGAGGGAAAAUCUAAUUUUUCUAUUGGUUGUUUGGGAAUGCGCGCAAAUAUAUUGAUAAGGGGAAAGUGAAUAGCGCCAAAAUAAAAGGAAUGAAUGUUAGAGAGAAAUUAGAGAUAGGAUGAGUCGGUCGUGUCGAAACUCAGUCCUAAAGAAUAUUAUAUAUUUAUGUGAUGGCAGCUAGCUGUAGUUUAUUUUCUCAAUUUUAUAAUUAUUUUAAUUAACUCGACCUUAAUAAAUAAAUUGUUUCAUUUAUAAAUUGUGUUUAAUUUAUAAAUUGUGAUAUAACCUCGUGUCUAAUUGUUAUCCAAAAAUUAAUUGCUAACAAGAAUUCAGAAGUGGGAUAUUAAAAA
This is a long non-coding RNA of Leptopilina heterotoma, 1854 nucleotides long. RefSeq lists it as uncharacterized. The transcript has 3 exons. The record is from RefSeq and is a predicted model, not a curated record. Lineage: Eukaryota; Metazoa; Arthropoda; Insecta; Hymenoptera; Figitidae.